UGCGCAGGCGGGCUUGUAAGUCAGUGGUGAAAUACUGCCGCUCAACGGUAGAACUGCCUUUGAUACUGCAAGUCUUGAAUAUGGUUGAGGUAGGCGGAAUGUGUCGUGUAGCGGUGAAAUGCAUAGAUAUGACACAGAACGCCAAUUGCGAAGGCAGCUUACUAAGCCGUUAUUGACGCUGAGGCACGAAAGCGUGGGGAGCGAACAGGAUUAGAUACCCUGGUAGUCC
Molecule: ribosomal RNA, 229 nt
Filed under: uncultured bacterium
Lineage: Bacteria
Description: partial 16S ribosomal RNA
Rfam family: Bacterial small subunit ribosomal RNA
Source: RNAcentral